CCUACGGGAGGCAGCAGUGGGGAAUUUUGGACAAUGGGCGCAAGCCUGAUCCAGCCAUGCCGCGUGCAGGAUGAAGGCCUUCGGGUUGUAAACUGCUUUUGUACGGAACGAAAAGACUCUGGUUAAUACCUGGGGUCCAUGACGGUACCGUAAGAAUAAGCACCGGCUAACUACGUGCCAGCAGCCGCGGUAAUACGUAGGGUGCGAGCGUUAAUCGGAAUUACUGGGCGUAAAGCGUGCGCAGGCGGUUAUAUAAGACAGAUGUGAAAUCCCCGGGCUCAACCUGGGAACUGCAUUUGUGACUGUAUAGCUAGAGUACGGCAGAGGGGGAUGGAAUUCCGCGUGUAGCAGUGAAAUGCGUAGAUAUGCGGAGGAACACCGAUGGCGAAGGCAAUCCCCUGGGCCUGUACUGACGCUCAUGCACGAAAGCGUGGGGAGCAAACAGGAUUAGAUACCCUGGUAGUCCACGCCCUAAACGAUGUCAACUGGUUGUUGGGUCUUCACUGACUCAGUAACGAAGCUAACGCGUGAAGUUGACCGCCUGGGGAGGUACGGCCGCGAGUAGAACGUACGAAAGUAGAAGUUAGACGGCGUGAGACGUAGACCGAACGGACGACGACGAGGGGAGGAGGG
RNAcentral lists this ribosomal RNA (633 nucleotides) under uncultured bacterium. RNAcentral describes it as "bacterial SSU rRNA". The stretch from base 1 to 542 matches the Rfam family "Bacterial small subunit ribosomal RNA", at positions 338 to 873 of the family's 1533-position model. The record is from RNAcentral.